AUGGCGGCAAAGAAACAUCUCUUUCGCUUUGGGUCUUUCGCGAUAAAAGACGGGUCGGAGAUUCGAUUCUGGGAAGACAUCUGGCUAGGCAAUGCCAGUCUCAGAGAACAAUAUCCAGCCUUAUAUAACAUUGCUCGAGAUAAGAACAACACUAUUGCGCACAUGCUCAGUUCAUCCCUGCCGAACAUUUCGUUUAGGCGGGAUUUGAUUGGCCCCAGACUUCUGUCAUGGCAUAAUCUUUUGUCCCGGUUGGAUUCGAUUAACCUGACACAAGGUCGGGAUGUGUUUCGCUGGAACCUUACUACAUCAGGGUCUUUUACAGUA
This 324-nucleotide ribosomal RNA is filed under the name Triticum aestivum (bread wheat). Its description in RNAcentral is "partial small subunit ribosomal RNA". Lineage: Eukaryota; Viridiplantae; Streptophyta; Magnoliopsida; Poales; Poaceae. The record is from RNAcentral.